Hydra vulgaris (swiftwater hydra) is the source of this 357-nucleotide long non-coding RNA. RefSeq lists it as uncharacterized. The record is from RefSeq and is a predicted model, not a curated record. Lineage: Eukaryota; Metazoa; Cnidaria; Hydrozoa; Anthoathecata; Hydridae.
GAAAAAGUCAUAUAAUUCUUUAUGAAGAUGAAAAUGAGGCCUUGUGUUACAUAAAACAAUACGAACUAGAACACACUGUUCGCUUUGUAGCAUGGUUUACACCCAAAGGAUUUGGUAACACAGAUGUACAUAGUGAAAAUCAUAAAGUUUUAUGGGAAACUGAAUGAUCUUAUGCAGAAGUGCCUUUCAUGGUUUUAGCACAGAAAGUUUUAGAUUGUUCACAUGGAACAGAUGCAAUAAUGCAAGAAAAAAAACAUACAAGGAUAAAACAAAAGCAAAGAAAACUGAACACUCUUGUCAAAAAAGUUAUUUUAGUGUGCAAGACACAAAAAAAUUCCAAUGUCCAGCACAAAUUUC